AUGCCCUACGGGGGGCAGCAGUGGGGAGUAUUGCACAAUGGGGGAAACGCUGAUGCAGCGACGCCGCGUGAGCGAAGAAGUAUUUCGGUAUGUAAAGCUCUAUCAGCAGGGAAGAAGAUGACGGUACCUGAGUAAGAAGCCCCGGCUAACUACGUGCCAGCAGCCGCGGUAAUACGUAGGGGGCAAGCGUUAUCCGGAUUUACUGGGUGUAAAGGGAGCGCAGGCGGCGUGGCAAGUCAGAUGUGAAAACCCGGGGCCCAACCCCGGGAGUGCAUUUGAAACUGCCAUGCUGGAGUGCCGGAGAG
RNAcentral lists this ribosomal RNA (305 nucleotides) under uncultured bacterium. Its description in RNAcentral is "bacterial SSU rRNA". It matches the Rfam family "Bacterial small subunit ribosomal RNA", at positions 334 to 656 of the family's 1533-position model. The record is from RNAcentral.